UUUGGGGUUAAAAUCAAGAGUAAAAGGAGAAUACAUCAAGAAGAACAUGAGAAAUAUUUGGAGAAGUCAAGACCAAGCUCAAAAAUGGUUUGAUCUAGAACCUUGUAUUCUUUUCCAAUUAUUUUGCCAUAUAUGUAAUGUAUUGUUAUAAAUAUUCUCCUUUUUAUCAAUUGUUUAACAUAGGCUAAAUAUUUUUGUUGAGAUUCAUGGUUGAAAUAUAACCUAACCUUGAUUAAGUUCUAGAUUUGCUUUUUAAUGUUAAAAUGCUUAUUUCCAUAUACAUCUACUAUUAUAUUUCUUGCAUUUUCAUUUAUGUAAUGAAUGAUUAUGUUUAAUGAUUUGUAUAUCGUUCGAGAAAAGAUUGUGCAUUUUAGAUCAAAUAAUAGAAAACUUAGGUUUGUAUAGGUGAUAGAGAUAUAUACCUAACCUUAAGUGACCCAUUGAAUUAUUGAUGCGAACCCGGUUAGUAAGAUCACUAACGAACCCACGAAAGAUUGUUGAACCCCAGGAAAAUCAAGAAUUUACCUCGGUUUAUGGAUUUGAAUUCCAAGAUGACGAACCAAGCAACUCACAAUAAUAGUAAUAUGAAGGACCUCUUGAUCAUGCAACCAAAGACUCGCACUCGAAUUUUAAACGCCACAAGGAAACACGUUGAUAAGUUAGAAAAUUGUUCUAAGAAAAACAAAUAUUGGAAAGCAACAAUUGCAGCUCAAAUUAAAUUCUCAAUAAUGUCAAAAGUUAUUCUUGCAAUCAAUAAUGAGAAAAGUAUUUAUACCAAUCCUAAAAAUAUUGUCCUGGACAGAAAUUAUGCUCUAAUUAUCGAAAAAUAAUAAUUAGAAUCAAAUUUAUGGAAAAUAAAAAAGUUACUGAAAAUUAAAAAACGCGACCAAAAAUUUGUACUAUGCGGUCGUAUAGUACAAAGCUAUGCGGCCGCAUGGAAUUAAAAUUUUCCUCCCGAUAAAUUUCUGCAUGGGUCUAUGCAACUGCACGCACUGCAAAGCUAUGAGGUCAUAGCUUUGUCUGACGGUCUCCUUUUCGUCUACCUUUAUCACGUUGAUCCAAGUCUCUUCGGCUUUCGACCUCAACCUGAAACUUGUUCCAUUUGAUGUCCCGAACAUGGUGUCAUCAAUAGUGAUUUUAUCGAGCAUCCCAUCGCCUCUUUAACUCGUCUCUCUCUUGAUCGCGUCAUCGGGCCUUCUUCGAUAAUCAACGGGCUUGAUUCGAACUUGCCUUCAUGACUCCCUCAUCUUAGAUCAUAUCAGUUAUUUUCACAAAGACUUAAUGCGGUUGUUUGGUUUUAAUGGAUAUAGAGAUAUAGUAAGUUAAGCCAACCAAUUAGGGUUAAUUUCUAUUGAAAAUGUUAAUUAACUAAAAUUGGAAGAUCGAUUCUAAAAUCGUAAAUGAGUAAUUUGUUAAUUGACUUGUGGAGAAAUUAACUAGGCAAUGGUUAAGGAAACCCAUGAAUCCCAACCACAUUUUCUUUAAAAAAAAAUUCAAGAUUUUUUAUAUUUUCUUAUUUUGUAGAUUUUUAAUUAUUUUCCAAAAUCAAAAUCUUUAUUGUGUGUUUGUUUUCAUUGUUAGAAUUUAAUUUGUGUAAUAGAAAGUAUACAUUUCUUGAGGGAUUGACAACUCGUACUCAAAAAGUCCACUUUAUUACUUGAAUGAGACCCGUGCACUUGCGAUUUACAUUUUCUCAGUGACAAACAAGUUUUUGGCGCCAUUGUCGAAAAUGUUUUUACUUUGAUUACUACUUUAGUUAAUUUUAGUUUUAACAGUUUCUUUUUAUUUAUUUUUAAUUGCUUUUAUUUUUGUAUACUUGGCUAACCACCAUAUUGUUAAAUCUAUCUUGUGCUGAACUUUUCAGCUAUAGUUGCAUUAUUCCUAUUUUGGUAAAGAAACAAUGUUGUUGCAAUGUCUAAUCUCUAUGAAUUUAUGCUUGAAGGCCCAAGGUGUGAAAUUUGUCAAUCGAUGUAUUGUACAGGACAAUGCUUGUAUUCAUGUACCUAUGCCUCAAUGUCGAAAUAUCUUUGGUUUAAACAAUAUUUUAAAUGUAGAAAUCAAGCAUUGCACAAUUUUGAUGAUUGUUACAUGCUCACGGGAGAUUAUGUAACUGAUGAUUGGGAUGAGGACACAAAUUUUCAGGAGUUGGUCCUCGAGAGGGUACUUGUACUGUAUUACAAUGAAUUUACUAAGUCGGAUGAAGAGGACAUGCUUGUGGAGAUUACAAAUAUUGCGAUAGAUUUCAAAAGUGGGGUAUAAUCCACUUGAUAGAGUUAAUAGAAAGACUUUCCACUGCCCAUGAAAAUUGAUAAUGGACCGGUCAUUCAAUCUGAUGAAAUAUCAAUAAUUGAAGAAGAGCUUGAAGAGAAAAACAAUUACAACGGAGCUAAAUGAAGAUGUUGCAAUCAAUAAGGAGAUAAUCGACUUACAUUCUUCUGACUUGGUUGAUUGCCAAGAAAUUGAUUUUGUAAUUAAAUCCAAUGAAAAGGUAGAAACUUCAUAGUUGAAUUUGAGGACGAUGGAAUAGCCAAGUCAUCUUAUAUGUAAAGGGACAAUGUUGUAUUUUGGAGAUCAAAUGAAGAGUGAAACAAAGCCAAAAUGAAGAAAAACAGACAAGUUAUCCAAAGCCUUCUUUAGGUGCUCGUGAUUUAAAUACCAAAGCCAAGUUAAAAGACUAUAAAAAACUUAUUGGGAGGCAACCCAUUUUUUUAAACUUUUAAGCUUUUUAUUUAUUUUUAUGUAUUUUCACGCUUUUAUUUAACUAGCUAUCAUUUUUUGUAGGUAAUUUCUGAAGUUCCACAUAUCUAUGGUUCCUAACAAGUUUAGAGGUAAAUUGAAUGUCACUUGCCAAGUUUAUCAAAAGCAUUACAAAUCCAAAUCAAGCAUUGGCACCUGGCUCAAAUGUCUAACUGGGAAGUCUUAUUAAGCUCCCCGCUUACCUUUUAUCUUGUUAUUUUCCGCUUUGAAGACAAUGUGGGAUUUAAGUUUAGAGGUGAUUGUGCCUUUUUUUUUUUUUUUUUUUUUUUUAUUGUAUU
RNAcentral lists this long non-coding RNA (3035 nucleotides) under Olea europaea subsp. europaea. Lineage: Eukaryota; Viridiplantae; Streptophyta; Magnoliopsida; Lamiales; Oleaceae. The record is from RNAcentral.